GCGGCUCUAGCCCAACCGGCAGAGGCACCUGGUCGAGAACCAGUCCAGUCGGGGUUCGACUCCCCGGAGCCGCACCA
RNAcentral lists this transfer RNA (77 nucleotides) under Prauserella cavernicola. RNAcentral describes it as "Prauserella sp. ASG 168 tRNA-Leu". It matches the Rfam family "tRNA". Rfam says of the family: Transfer RNA (tRNA) molecules are approximately 80 nucleotides in length. Lineage: Bacteria; Bacillati; Actinomycetota; Actinomycetes; Pseudonocardiales; Pseudonocardiaceae. The record is from RNAcentral.